UACGUAGGGUGCAAGCGUUGUCCGGAAUUAUUGGGCGUAAAGAGCUCGUAGGCGGUUUGUUGCGUCGGCUGUGAAAUCCCGAGGCUCAACCUCGGGUCUGCAGUCGAUACGAGCAAACUAGAGUGUUGCAGGGGAGACUGGAAUUCCUGGUGUAGCGGUGAAAUGCGCAGAUAGUCAGGAGGAACACCGGUGGGCGAAGGCGGGUCUCUGGGCAGUAACUGACGCUGGAGGAGCGAAAAGCCGUGGGGAGCGAACAGG
RNAcentral lists this ribosomal RNA (258 nucleotides) under uncultured bacterium. RNAcentral's name for it is "partial 16S ribosomal RNA". It matches the Rfam family "Bacterial small subunit ribosomal RNA", at positions 524 to 776 of the family's 1533-position model. The record is from RNAcentral.